RNAcentral lists this ribosomal RNA (1005 nucleotides) under Triticum aestivum (bread wheat). RNAcentral describes it as "partial small subunit ribosomal RNA". The record is from RNAcentral. Lineage: Eukaryota; Viridiplantae; Streptophyta; Magnoliopsida; Poales; Poaceae.
AUGGGAGUUACUGCAGUGCUUCUUGACACGGGGAAUUUUGUCGUCCACUUCGAAGAUAUUGCUGCUGCAACGGAUAAUUUCUCUGAAUUUAACCAAAUUGGAAGCGGAGGUUUUGGUAAAGUUUACAAGGGAAUGUUGCAAGGUGACAAAGAAGUUGCUAUCAAAAGGCUUAGUAAGGGCUCUGCCCAAGGGAUAGAGGAGUUCAAAAAUGAAACAAUUCUGAUUGCAAAAUUGCAACACAGAAAUCUUGUAAGACUUCUUGGUUGCUGUAUUUAUGGAGAUGAGAGGUUACUUAUCUAUGAAUACUUACCUAACAAAAGCUUGGACACAUUCCUUUUUGACGAUACAAGACAAUAUGAGCUUGAUUGGUCCAUACGCUUCAAAAUAAUUAAAGGGGUAGCGAGAGGGCUUCUUUACCUCCACCAAGAUCCAAGAUUAACUAUAAUUCACAGAGAUCUCAAACCAAGCAACAUCUUGAUGGAUUCUGAAAUGACUCCCAAAAUAUCAGACUUCGGUAUGGCGAGGAUCUUUGGUGGAAACAAACAAGAGGCAAGCACUACCCAGGUUGUGGGAACAUAUGGUUACAUGUCUCCUGAAUAUGUGAUGGGAGGUGCUUUUUCUGUAAAAUUGGACACCUAUAGCUUCGGUGUUCUUCUCUUGGAGAUUGUAAGUGGCUUGAAGAUCACCUCGACGCAACUCGUAAUGAACUUUGCAUGGAGACUGUGGGAGGAUGGAAAAGCAACAGAACUGGUGCACUCUUCGGUUAUUGAGAGUUGUUCACUUGAUGAAGUUCUACGGUGUAUCCAUGUCGGACUCCUGUGCGUUCAAGACUGUCCGAAUGAUAGGCCACUCAUGGCAUCAGUUACUUUUAUGUUGGAGAAUGGAAGUGCAUUGCUCCCAGCACCAAAGCAGCCUGCAUAUUUUCCUCUACGAAGUCUCGAACCUGGAAAAAUAAGGGGAAAUUCUAUGAAUGUAGUGAGUAUCACAACACUUGAGGGGCGGUAG